GGACGAACGCUGGCGGCGUAGCUUAAUACAUGCAAGUCAACGACUUUAAGAUAGCAAUAUUUUAAGGGGAGUGGCGCACGGGUGAGUAACACGUAGGCAAUCUACCUUUAGGACUGACACAACUCGUCGAAAGACGGGCUAAUAUCAGAUAAUGCAGCGGCUCCGCAUGGAGACAGUUGUUAAAGUACAAGCGCCUGAAGAUGAGCCUGCGGUCCAUUAGCUAGUUGGUAGAGUAACGGCCUACCAAGGCAACGAUGGAUAGCUGGUCUGAGAGGAUGAUCAGCCACACUGGAACUGAGACACGGUCCAGACUCCUACGGGAGGCAGCAGUAAGGAUAUUGCUCAAUGGCCGAAAGGCUGAAGCAGCAACGCCGCGUGAAGGAUGAAUGGCCUUUGGCCUGUAAACUUCUGUAAAAGAGGAAAAUAGUUAGGUAUAUCCUAAUGUGAUCGUACUCUUGAAGUAAGCCCCGGCUAACUACGUG
This 482-nucleotide ribosomal RNA is filed under the name uncultured bacterium. RNAcentral's name for it is "bacterial SSU rRNA". It matches the Rfam family "Bacterial small subunit ribosomal RNA", at positions 27 to 507 of the family's 1533-position model. The record is from RNAcentral.